CUAGUGCUACGGCGUUUAUUAAACACAUACGACGUAAUCACUUGUUGACCAAUGAAGAUGUUCAUAUUAUAUAUUUACUAGUAUUUAUAGAAAGACAAACAAAAAAAUCAAGAAGUUUGACAUUUAUUGAUGAUAAUAAUUUUAACCUACAUUAUAAAGUAAAGAGUUGUAAGAGAAGAGAAGUAUUCUACGGCGCAUCAGCUUCGGAGACGGCCGCUAUCAUGAACAUUCGCUGUGUGGUUUUGCUUUGUUUUAUUUCUUUUUGUUCUCUGAUCCACACGACAAGGUCACACCCUGGUUUUAGACGGAACCUUUUCCCAGCAUACCGCAGAAUCUCUUCAUCCAAGAUUUCCAGUUUGUUUCCGAGCUACAUCAAGAAGUUGGUCACUCGAACCCCCAUCCGAAAGCCACGCCAGUUUUGGUUUUCCUCCAGUGACAAGGUUCCCAUUCUUUACAAAAAUGGAUCAAGGAGCCCUGUCAUUUCUAACAGAUUUCUUAACAGAGGUUGCCCUGUUCUAAAGUGCCCUACCUUGAAAAUUUCUUCUAGAUGCAAAGCACCUGUUCUAUAUCGAUAUAGUGGCAGAUUGUGUCGUGGUUGUUACAGAAAUGUUUGCAAGUAGUAUUACAACCAGAAGAGGAUAUGAACAUGAUAUAAAAAUGACGAGUUUCCUUUUCUGCUGGAGGAAAGUCGGUUGGAUAAAAAUGUAUUUGAAUUUUGUGAUAAAAGUAUAUGUGAAAUAUAUACAUGUAUGUGAUCAAGAAACAGAAACACAAUGAAAUGUCCCUAUGCGACAGUAGGUGACCCUGGUAAUAGCAAUGACGAAUGUGCGUUGUUGAAGACAUGUGAUCCGUUAAUCUAAGUGAUUUUUCUUGACAAUUUAAUUUCAUAAAUCGAUUUUAUUUCGUUAAUUUCAUUUAAUAUCUUUUUAUUCAAAGUUGUUUUUUUUGUGUAAUUAUGAUGUAUGGCUUUGCAGGCUCUAUGAAUGAAGACGUGGAAACGCCCUCACAGUAUAGUUUUUGUACAGUGUUUGAGAGAAAUAUCUCUUUGUUCUACAACUUGUUCAAUGUUAUUACUGAGUGAAUAUCUUUGUAAUACUUGUAUUACUAUAAUCUUUUUUUCUAAACCGCAAAAAUAUUGUGUAGGUUUUCCCUCGUCUUCAAUCCACUAACUAUGAAUUUUAAUACGUCCUAAU
Molecule: long non-coding RNA, 1193 nt
Organism: Ostrea edulis (European flat oyster)
Lineage: Eukaryota; Metazoa; Mollusca; Bivalvia; Ostreida; Ostreidae
Exons: 3
Source: RefSeq, a predicted model, not a curated record